AGCGAACGCUGGCGGCAGGCCUAACACAUGCAAGUCGAACGAACCUUUCGGGGUUAGUGGCGGACGGGUGAGUAACACGUGGGAACGUGCCUUUAGGUUCGGAAUAACUCAGGGAAACUUGUGCUAAUACCGAAUGUGCCCUUCGGGGGAAAGAUUAAUCGCCUUUAGAGCGGCCCGCGUCUGAUUAGCUAGUUGGUUGAGGUAAUGGCUCACCAAGGCGACGAUCAGUAGCUGGUCUGAGAGGAUGAUCAGCCACAUUGGGACUGAGACACGGCCCAAACUCCUACGGGAGACAGCAGUGGGGAAUCUUGCGCAAUGGGCGAAAGCCUGACGCAGCCAUGCCGCGUGAAUGAUGAAGGUCUUAGGAUUGUAAAAUUCUUUCACCGGGGACGAUAAUGACGGUACCCGGAGAAGAAGCCCCGGCUAACUUCGUG
Molecule: ribosomal RNA, 434 nt
Filed under: uncultured bacterium
Lineage: Bacteria
Description: partial 16S ribosomal RNA
Rfam family: Bacterial small subunit ribosomal RNA
Source: RNAcentral